AAACUGAAAAACGGACAAGUUAAGAGCAGCCAGGGUCGUACCAUUCAGUGUGUGUGGUGGGCGUGUACGAACAGUUCGCUGCUAGCUACAGUGAUAAAUAACAUUAGUGACUACUGUAAGCUACAUUUUCUCGUCUGGCUGUGUGUCUUUGUAGCACAGACUGUGUUGAGAUUAAGCCGAAAUCAAAACGUGUGUGCGAGUCUUCACAGAGAAAACCCUCUGUAGCAUGUUUCCGCUAGCUAGUUUAAUCUUUAAGUUACCAGUAGCUGAGAGACUUUAACGGACAGCGGUGAUUCAGCGAGCUAGCUAGAAAGAAAGAGUCUUGAAAGCCUCAACACCCAACAUCCAUUGAUUUCCCCCUAAUUUGAUGCAUGUCGUUUACGGAUCUCGCCAGUGUUUCAUAUUCAUUUCUGGGCUUUCCAUCUACCAAGAUGUAUGUGAUGUCGGGAUGACAGGAAGAUGGCAAACGGGGUUGGAAAACACAAGCUGCUUGUCAUUGGACCAACAGAGCCAUGGUCGGUGAGGGAGAAGCUGUGUUUGGCCACAUCUGUCAUGAAGAGUGGAGACCAGAACUGGGUAUCUGUCAGUCGAGCCAUCAAACCAUUUGCAGAGCCCGGGCGGCCACCUGACUGGUUCUCUCAAAAGCACUGUGCCUCCAAGUACUCGGAGCUCCUGGAAACAACAGAGGCCCCAAAACGGAAGCGUGGUGAGAAAGGUGAAUUGGUGGAGACGGUGGAGGACGUGAUAGUUCGCAAGCUGACAGCAGACAGGAUUGAUGAACUAAAAAAGUUUAUCAAAGAAACACAGGAGAAGCACAGGAAACUGAAAAGAGAAGCUGAACUAAUAAAAGCAGGACAUCUAGAUUCCAAACUUGAAGAGUUAUGGGAAGAAAUGCUGCAGAAGAAGAAAGUGGAGGAGGAGGAAGCAGAGUUGAAAAGAAAAAACACAAAUGCUGCUUAUCAGGCCAGACAGGUGGCAAAGAACACACCUAAGCGAGUACACGGCAUCACCAUGCAUUCGCCCUCAGGCUGUAGCUCCCCGAGCCCUGAGUUCUCACCAGGUGACCCACUCGAGUUCUUGACACUGGAUAUUGCAUCAACAAAGAAUGCUUCAGGAUCAGCCAGAUUAAUCACAAUUGCUGAGUCCUCUGGAGCUGGUAAUGAUGACAUCAGCCACGGAUCACUUCUUGAUGACCCCACCCAAAAGAAACUCUUGAGCCAGAAAGCCACGCCACCACCAUCUCCACUUCUGUCAGAGUUACUGAAGAAAGGCAGUAUCCUGGCCACAAAUUCCAGACUGAUGGGGGAGGGUGAUGUGACCGCUGCAAAUAUGACAUCAGCACAUGACUUGCAGCUUGCUCCGCCUAGCCAACCUCUCUCUCAGGCAACAGGUGCCCCGAUGCUGUCUCGUCUCCUGGAGGCGGGUCCCACCCAGUUCUCUGCCCCGUUAGGUUUCAUGGUCAGCGCAGACUCCAGUGCUUCUCUCACUGCUGCCACUCUUGUGCCUGUUGACUCUACUGCCUCAGCAAAUACAGAGGUUGAUGGGAUGGUGCCCUCUGGAUGCCAGCCUGUGUCUGCAGAGGAUAAGGUGUCAGAGCUCAGUGAGGACGAUGUGACUGUGUCCUACAUGGGGGAUGAACUGGACCUGAAGACAGUGGGGGACAUUAUCGCUAUCAUUGAAGACAAGGCAGAUGAGACUGCAGAGGCUUUGGAUGCAGCUGCAGUUGAAGCUGCGCUGUCACUGUGUGAGGAGAAUGGCCACGCUCUGUCUGGUGCCUGGGAGGCUGGGCCUUUCCAGCCACAUGUGUCUCACCCCGCAGUGUCCACAGGGGUCCAGCAGUCCUCGUGUCUUCACAGUAGCCUGCAGGGGAAGACAGAAGUGUUGGAAGUCCGGGGUGGGACUUCAGCUUCACUCUCCUCUCUCUGCAACAGUCAAGAUAAUGGUCUCGCAGCAUUCCCCAUGGGACUCAGAGGCCUUCCUCCCACCUCCUUGUCCUCAUGCAACUCAAAGAGUUUGGAGCACUGCCGCACUGGAGCACCUCCACAGCCUGAGGCAAUGAGAAACACUGGAGCAUUGAAUGUUACUAUAAAAUGUGAGAGUGAGAAGUGGGCGAAGCAAAGACCUGGAAAACCCCAUGAAGACUCAGUAUUAGAAGAUAGCCCACUGACAGAAAGGCAACCCAAGGAGAUGAAAGCGGAGGAUGGAAUAAGUGUUGGGGGAGGAGAGAACGCCUCAGGGACUAAAGUGUACAAUGAGCUAAAUGGGCCAGAAGUGUGUAGAGAAGAAGAGGGUGAUGGGGUGGAGGGAUUCUUGUCAGAGCCAGACGGCGAGAUGGAGCUUGAACCUGCGGCCAGCGAGAGUGAGGAUGGAUACAGCCUCCACACGGCCUCCUCGUCUCUGCAGCUCCACAUGACCGCAGACUCCAUCCCCAGCAGCCCUGCAUCAUCGCAGUUCUCUAUGUGCAGUGAGGACCUGGAAGCUCUACAGGCGCACAAGAUCUGGAAGAAAGCCAUAAUGCUAGUGUGGCGGGCAGCAGCCAAUCACAGGUAUGCAAAUGUCUUCCUGCAGCCAGUAACAGAUGAAAUUGCACCUGGAUACCACAGUAUUGUGCAGAGGCCCAUGGAUCUUGCCGCCAUAAAAAAGAGCAUUGAGACGGGGUUGAUACGGACCACCGCCGAGUUCCAGAGGGACAUCAUGCUGAUGUUUCAGAAUGCAGUCAUGUACAACAGCCUGGAUCAUGACGUGUACCACAUGGCUCUGGAGAUGCAGCGUGAUGUCCUGGAGCAGAUCCAGCAGUUUCUGGCUACCCAGCUCAUCAUGGAGACAUCAGAGUCUGGUAUCAGCGCCAAGAGCCUGAGGGGCCGUGAGAGCACACGCAGACAGGACUCCACUGACAAGGUGCUUCACUAGAAUUUUGACAAAAGCAGAGAGUACAGAAGAAGAGACAAGGGACACUGUCUCCAUGUCCUCUCCUGCCUUCCUUCUUUCUCUUUUUGAUGGAGGCACCAGAGGGCGCCGUUGUGCCAUAGAAGCUGAUCUGAAGAUGAAGAAAUGAACAUGGAGUAUGAACAUUUUAACCAAGUGUCCCCGAGUUGAAGUGAAAGGUGUGAAACCCACGAAGUGAACCUAAUCUGUCAUUUGCACAGUUUCUCACUCUGCAUAAAAUGCAGCAUAACCUUCAUUUGCACUCUAUGUUACACUGUAAUAUGGAGAAGCUCAUUUCCUCUGAGACAGCCAUACAGAUAUGGAUUAAUAAGUGUAUAAUCCCAGAUUACAGUGGGGCAGGAAGAAUAGGUCAGACCUUUUGUAGAUGUAGCUGCAGAUCACUUAGACUUAACCUGCUCUGAAUUACAUCCGGUUAUGUAAAUGAAAUUAUAAGUUACUUCUGGGCAACAAAUUGGCUGAAAUUAAGCCUUCAUGAGGCCUGGUUGUGCUCAGAUUAGUGUGGUUGAUUUGGAGAAACGUACCAUGUUGGUGUUAAUAUCUAAAAUCAGAGGCCAAAGAAACUGAUGAACCCAGAAGUUGUGAAUAAUCAGGUGGGACACAUCCUAAUUUUUAAACAAAAACCUUUCGGUUGCUGGUAUUAAACCAUUUGUGUUGUUUUUAUUAUCACUAUUGUUGUUAUUAUUUUAAUUUCCUAGUUUUAAAAUGCUGAGACCAUUUUUAAAUAUGGCUUCAUUGUUUGUGAUUAAUUGAUUUUAUCCUGUGGAACAGUACCUACAUGCAUAUUCUGAGUCAUUUUUGGUAUUUUUGAGAAAACGUCACGUUAUUCAACUGUUUUGUGAACUUUGAAAUGUUAAAAAAAAUAAUAAAAACUUCAUAAUGAGCCCUAAAUCAACAUGUUUAGCUUGAAUUUGCACAAAACGUUUUCCACUAUUCUAACACGAUACACACACUGAAACCAUCCUGAUUAAGAGCUAUUAAAUCAAAAACAUUUGUGCAGAGGUUGCAAAUUGUGUUACUCUAUAUGAUGUUUCCACACUCAUCAUGUGUUCAGACUUUGGACAUAAGCAGAAGACUUUUCGGUGAAAAUCUGCAAGUCAGCUAUUAAAAUGAAAACCUACUAAAAUAUCUUGAAAGAGGCUGCUUUAAUUGCUUGGGCAAUUUUCAACAAAGUGAUUACUGCAGUUAAUUGUUUCAUCAAUUUAAGUUUU
This is an RNA transcript of Centropristis striata (black sea bass), 4154 nucleotides long. It is a transcript of the gene named bromodomain containing 8a, with no coding region annotated. The transcript has 20 exons. Lineage: Eukaryota; Metazoa; Chordata; Actinopteri; Perciformes; Serranidae. The record is from RefSeq and is a predicted model, not a curated record.